AUGGAAGAGGAAAAGUGUUUCAGGUCUUCAUCCUCUAAGGUUUCGAGAUCUAGAUCUGUUGGGUGUGGUAACAGGAGCUUCUCUGCUGAUUUCUUCGAGAGGAUCUCUUUUGGUCUCGGCGACUGCACUCUCAGGAGAGUCGAGUCUCAUCGCGAAGGAAAACAUAAGGUUGUAGCUUCUGCUUCUUCAGCUUCUUCUUCGUCUUCUUCUUCUUCUUCUGGUGCUGGUGGUGGUGGUGUUGUGAACCAUUGCAUGAAGGAAAGAGUGAGGUGUGGUGGAAUCUUCGGUGGCUUCGCCGUUACUUCCUUGUCUUCUUAUGCGUAUUCUUCUUCUUGGGUUUCUUCCACCGUGGAUGAUGGCAGAGGAAGGAGUUGGGGAUGGGCAUUUUCGCUAGCCCCAUUAGAGCUUUCACCACCAAAGGAUCUUCUUCUUCUUCUAAGAGAGAUGCUUCUGAUAAGAACGCCACGCCAAACUUAUCUGUCAUUCCUUCUUUGCUCACUGUUAGAGGCUGAACUCAGAUUAUGCAGAAAAAAAGUGGUGUUUUGCAGGCAUAUUAUUUUUUGUUUAUGCUAUAUACAUUAGCAUUCUUGUUCAUCUUCGUUAAUAUAAUAUUGUAACACUUUCAAGUUGUAAUUUUCCCGCACAUUCUUUCUUUUUCUUUGUUUAUGACACUGGAUUGUUGUUCAU
Molecule: RNA transcript, 687 nt
Organism: Vigna angularis (adzuki bean)
Lineage: Eukaryota; Viridiplantae; Streptophyta; Magnoliopsida; Fabales; Fabaceae
Exons: 1
Source: RefSeq, a predicted model, not a curated record